RNAcentral lists this ribosomal RNA (116 nucleotides) under Serrognathus titanus sika. RNAcentral describes it as "partial 16S ribosomal RNA". The record is from RNAcentral. Lineage: Eukaryota; Metazoa; Arthropoda; Insecta; Coleoptera; Lucanidae.
AAAAUUUUAAAAGUCGAACAGACUCAAUUCUUCAGCCCCUACACCGAAAAUAAAUUUUAAUCCAACAUCGAGGUCGCAAACUAAUUUAUCAAUAAGAACUCUCCAAAUUAAUAACG